RNAcentral lists this unclassified non-coding RNA (603 nucleotides) under Hevea brasiliensis (rubber tree). The record is from RNAcentral. Lineage: Eukaryota; Viridiplantae; Streptophyta; Magnoliopsida; Malpighiales; Euphorbiaceae.
AUAGAAGAAAGGGGGUAGGUAUGUAAAGUAUAAUUACAGAUCAGUCAUCCAGUAGACAACAGAUUCAAUUUAUAAUAUACAUGUAAUGUGAUGUCUAGUUUGGAGCAUAUCAGCUAUAAGCAAACUAUGGUGGCAUAGAUAUUCUAUUCUCAUUGGAGGCAUUAUUUGCACACCUAGGGUUGAAAUAAUUGAGAAGUUGAGGGACUAAGGUAAUGUGGGGAUAAAAGUGAAGGGAUUUUAGCAAUUUGAUGGUUAACUUUUAAGUGUUAUAAAGAGGAAUGGGAGUUUGGUAUAUAGAUUGUGGGAAUUAUUAAUCACACCUUAAUGUUUUAGGAAGUUUUUUUCCUUCCUUGCUUAGUGUGAUGCCUGUAUAUCUGUCAGUGUGUGUACGCGUGUGAUGCAGUCAAGGAAAACUAGGUUAAGGAAUUAUUUUGAUUUGGUCUUUAGUUGUAAAAUUAUGAUCUUUCGUUCAGAUUUAUUUUUAUAAUUAGGAAGUUUAGGAAUUCUGUUAUCGUUUAGAAAUAUUUGAAGAGUUCUGUUAGGUUUACUAUUUUCCUACUUAGUAACUUAGUAUUGGUAUAGUGUUUUCCUAUUUUGGGAUUC